Molecule: ribosomal RNA, 460 nt
Filed under: uncultured bacterium
Lineage: Bacteria
Description: partial 16S ribosomal RNA
Rfam family: Bacterial small subunit ribosomal RNA
Source: RNAcentral
CCUACGGGUGGCAGCAGUGAGGAAUAUUGGUCAAUGGACGAGAGUCUGAACCAGCCAAGUAGCGUGAAGGAUGACUGCCCUAUGGGUUGUAAACUUCUUUUAUAUGGGAAUAAAACGUUCCACGUGUGGGAUUUUGUAUGUACCAUAUGAAUAAGGAUCGGCUAACUCCGUGCCAGCAGCCGCGGUAAUACGGAGGAUCCGAGCGUUAUCCGGAUUUAUUGGGUUUAAAGGGGGCGUAGGUGGAUUGUUAAGUCAGUUGUGAAAGUUUGCGGCUCAACCGUAGAAUUGCAGUUGAAACUGGCAGUCUUGAGUACAGUAGAGGUGGGCGGAAUUCGUGGUGUAGCGGUGAAAUGCUGAGAUAUCACGAAGAACUCCGAUUGCGAAGGCAGUUCACUGGACUGCAACUGACACUGAGGCUCGAAAGUGUGGGUAUCAAACAGGAUUAGAUACCCGAGUAGUC